Molecule: ribosomal RNA, 3293 nt
Filed under: Lophocereus schottii
Lineage: Eukaryota; Viridiplantae; Streptophyta; Magnoliopsida; Caryophyllales; Cactaceae
Description: eukaryotic LSU rRNA
Rfam family: Eukaryotic large subunit ribosomal RNA
Source: RNAcentral
GCGACCCCAGGUCAGGCGGGGGUACCUGUGGAGUUUAAGCACAUCAAUAAGUGGAGGAAAAGAAACUGACAGGGAUUUGCCUCGUAACGGCCAGCGAACUGGGAAGAGCUUAGCUUUAAAAUCGGGCAGCCUCGCCGUCUGAAUUGUAUUAUGGAGAAGCGUCCUCUGCGGCGGACCGAGCCCAACUCCCCUGGAAAGGGACGCUAGAGAGGGUGAGAGCCCCGUCGUGCCCAGACAUUGUCGCACCACGAGGCGCUAUCGCCGAGUCGGGUUGUUUGGGAAUGCAGCCCCAAUUGGGUGGUAAAUUCUAUUUAAGGCUAAAUACGGGCGAGAGAUCGAUAGCGAACAAGUACUGCGACGGAAAGAUGAAAAGGACUUUGAAAAGAGAGUCAAAAAGUACUUGAAAUUAUUGGGAGGGAUGCAGAUGGGGGCCGACGAUGCGCCCUAGUCGGAUAUGGAACGACCACAAGUCGGUCCGCUGAUCGGCUCGGGGCACGGACUGGCGCAAAUUGGGAGGGCGGCAGAACCCCGGUUCCUGGGAGCAUCGUCCUCAUGAUUAUAGAAGGUAGCGAGGUCGUCACGGCAUGCCCCGGGACCUGCGCGCUCUAGGCGUCAGCCUGCGGGCCCGCCAUUCAGCCCGUCUUGAAACACUGACCAAGGAGUCUGACAUGUGUAUGAGUCAACGGGCAGCACAAGGAAGCUAAUUGGUGGGAUCCCCUUAUAGGGGCACCGUUGACUGACCUUGAUCUUCUGAGAAGGGUUCGAGUGAGAGCAAACCUAUCGGGACCCGAAAGAUGGUGAAACAUGCCUAAGUGGGGCGAAGCCAGAGGGAACUCUGGUGGAGGCUUGAAGCGAUACUGACGUGUAAAUCAUUCGUCUAACUUAGUUAUAGGGGUGAAAGACUAAUCGAAUCAUCUAGUGGCUGGUUCCCUCCGAAGUUUCCCUCAGGAUAGCUGGAGCUCAUACGUGAGUUCUAUCAAGUAAAGCCAAUGAUUAGAGUCAUUAGGGGUGUAAUGCCCUCGACCUAUUCUUAAACUUUAAAUAGGUAGGAUGGCAUGGAUGCUUUGUUGAGCCGCGCCACAGAAUCGAGAGCUCCAAGUGGGCCAUUUUUGGUAAGGAGAACUGGUGAUGCAGGAUGAAUCGAAAGCCAAGUUACAGUGCCCAUCUACGCGCUAACCCAGAUCCCACAAAAGGUGUUAGUCGAUUAAGACAGCAGGACGAUGGUCAUGGAUGUCGAAAUCCACUAAGGAGUGUGUAGCAACUUACCUACUGAAUCAACUAGCCCCAAAAAUGGAUGGCGCUAAAGCGCACGACCUAUACCUGACCGUCGGUGCAAGUGCCAAGCCUCAAUGAGGAGGAGGGCGCGGUGGUCGCUGCAAAACCUGUGGUGCGAGCCAGGUCAUCGCGGCCGUCGGGGCAGAUCUUGGUGGCAGUAGCAAAUAUUCAAAGGAGAACUCUGAAGGCCGAAGAGGGGAAAGGUUCCAUGUGAAUGGCGCUUGCACAUGGGUUAGUCGAUCCUAAGAGACGGGAGAAGCCCGUCCGACAAUACGUUUCGCACGAGCUUUGAAAGGGAGUCGGGUUAAGAUUCCCGAACCGGGACGUGACGGUUGACGGCAACGUUAACGAGUCCGGAGACGUUGACGGGGGCCUCGGGAAGAGUUAUCUUUUCUGUUUAACAGCCUUUCCACCCUAGAAACGACUCAAUCGGAGGUAGGGUUUAGCGGCUAGAAGAGCACCGCACGUCGCGUGGUGUCCGGUGCGCCCCCAGCGGCCCUUGAAAAUCUAGAGGAACGAGUGUUGACUGUGCCUGGUCGUACUCAUAACUGUAUCAGGUCUCCAAGGUGAACAGCCUCUGAUCGAUGGAAUAAUGUAGGCAAGGAAAGUCGGCAAAAUGGAUCCGUAACUUCAGGAAAAGGAUUGGCUCUAAGGGCUGGGCAUGGAGGUCCAAGUCCUGAACCCAUUGGCUGUCGCCGGAAUGCUCGAGUUGCUCGUGCGGGUCGUCACGUGCCUACCGGGGGAUAGACUGGGAAUGGCCCCUUCGGAGGCCUUCCCCGAGCGUCGAACAGUCAACUCAGAAAUGGCAGCCAAAUGCGACUAUUUAAUUAAAACAAAGCAUUGCGAUGGUCCCUGCGGAUGUUAACGCAAUGUGAUUUCUGCCCAGUGCUCUGAAUGUCAAAGUGAAGAAAUUCAACCAAGCGUGGGUAAACGGCAGGAGUAACUAAGACUCUCUUAAGGUACCUAAAUGCCCCGUUUUCUAAUUUGUGAUGCACAUGAAUGAAUUAACGAGGUUGCCACUGUCUCUGUCUACUAUCUAGCGAAACCACAACCAAUGGAAUGGGCCUGGCAGAAUCAACGGGGAAAGAAGACCUUGUUGAGCUUGACUCUAGUCCGACUUUGUGAAAUGACUUGAGAGGUGUAGUAUAAAUGAGAGCUUCGGCGCAAGUGAAAUACCACUACUUUUGUUAUUUAAUGUACUCCGUGACUUGGAGGCGGGGCAUUGCCCCUCUUUUUGAACCUAAGGCUCGCUUCACGGGCCGAUCACGGUGGAGGACAUUGUAAGGUAGGGAGUUUGGCUAGGGUAGCACAUGUGUUAAAAGAUAACGCAAAUGUCCAAAGAUGAGCUCAAUGAGAACAGAAAUCUCAUGUGGAACAGAAGGGUAAAAGCUCAUUUGAUUAUGCUUUUCAGUACGAAUACGAACCGUGAAAGCGUGGCCUGACGAUCCUUUAGACCUUCAAAAUUUGAAGCUAGAGGUGUCAAAAAAGUUGCCACAGGGAUAAUUGGCUUGUGGCAGCCAAGUUUUCAUAGCGACAUUGCUUUUUGAUCCUUCGAUGUCGACUCUUCCUAUCAUUGUCUAGCAGAAUUUACCAAGUGUUGGAUUGUUCAGCCACCAAUAAGGAACAUGGGCUGGGUUUAGACCAUCGUGAGAUAGGUUAGUUUUACCCUACUAAUGACAGUGUCGUGACGGUAAUUCAACCUAGUAUGAGUGGAACCGUUGAUUUCGCACAAUUGGUCAUCGCACUUGGUUGAAAAGCCAGUGGCGCGAAGCUACCAUGCGUUGGAUUAUGACUGAACGCCUCUAAGUCAGAAUCCAGGCCAGAAGCGACGCCUGCACCCACCGCCCGAUUGCCGACCUGCAGUAGGGGCCUCAGCCCCCAAGGGCACAUGUUGUAGGCUAAACCAGCGCGACGGAUACGCCACAAGGGCCGCCUGAAGUACAAUUCCUAUUGAGCGGCAAGUUAAAUCCUUUGCAGAUGACUUAAAUACGCGACGGGGAAUCGUAAGUGGCAGGGUG